GGCGGGGUGAUUAUCUGUUCGGUUAGGCUCCACCCUGCGGGCUUCCGGGUGGGAGCCACGGACUCAUAAUCCGAGGCGCAGAGUUCGAGUCUCUGGUCCGCCACCA
RNAcentral lists this transfer RNA (106 nucleotides) under bacterium. Its description in RNAcentral is "tRNA-Ile". The record is from RNAcentral.